AAGUCGUAACAAGGUUUCCGUAGGUGAACCUGCGGAAGGAUCAUUGACAAAAUCUAACAACAACCCUGUUGAAAUGUAUCUCAGUAUUGAAUCAGUCGAUUCUUCACUGGGCAACCCUUCCUUUUGUAACAGUCGUUAUGAAAGGAGGGCUUUAAAUUUAAUGACUAUUGAUAUCUAUGCCUAAAGAUGAAACAUCUUAAAUGUUAUAAACAACUUUUAACAAUGGAUCUCUUGGCUCUU
This 240-nucleotide unclassified non-coding RNA is filed under the name fungal sp. RNAcentral's name for it is "partial internal transcribed spacer region". The stretch from base 1 to 46 matches the Rfam family "Eukaryotic small subunit ribosomal RNA", at positions 1786 to 1831 of the family's 1831-position model. The record is from RNAcentral. Lineage: Eukaryota; Fungi.